GAUGAAGAACGUAGUGAAAUGCGAUACGUAAUGUGAAUUGCAGAAUUCAGUGAAUCAUCGAGUCUUUGAACGCACAUUGCGCCCCCUGGUAUUCCGGGGGGCAUGCCUGUCCGAGCGUCAUUGCUGCCCUCAAGCACGGCUUGUGUGAUGGGCCUCCGUCCUCCUCCCGGGGGACGGGCCCGAAAGGCAGCGGCGGCACCGCGUCCGGUCCUCGAGCGUAUGGGGCUUCGUCACCCGCUCUUGUAGGCCCGGCCGGCGCUUGCCGACACAUCAAUCUUUUUUCCAGGUUGACCUCGGAUCAGGUAGGGAUACCCGCUGAACUUAAGCAUAUCAAUAAGCGGAGGA
This 345-nucleotide unclassified non-coding RNA is filed under the name soil metagenome. RNAcentral describes it as "partial contains 5.8S ribosomal RNA, internal transcribed spacer 2, and large subunit ribosomal RNA". The stretch from base 1 to 120 matches the Rfam family "5.8S ribosomal RNA", at positions 35 to 154 of the family's 154-position model. The record is from RNAcentral.